This 2959-nucleotide small RNA is filed under the name Pongo abelii (Sumatran orangutan). RNAcentral's name for it is "retained intron". The record is from RNAcentral. Lineage: Eukaryota; Metazoa; Chordata; Mammalia; Primates; Hominidae.
GGAAGGCGGGCCCUGCAGCUGGCUGGGCGGUUAGGAGGGCCCGGGGCCGAGACGAUGGCUGACCACAACCCUGACAGCGACCCCACGCCGCGCACGCUGCUGCGACGCGUGCUGGAUACAGCGGACCCGCGCACCCCGCGGCGACCCCGGAGUGCUCGGGCUGGAGCCCGGAGAGCCCUGCUUGAAAUGGCUUCCUCCAGGAGGUUGAGUGGCCAAACAAGGACGAUAGCCAGAGGGCGUUCCCGUGGAGCCAGGGUAAGUACCCAGCCCACUGACCCCAAAGGGCCCUGGCUGCCUCGGGGAGGGGGGUUGAGGUCUAGCUCUGCUCUGGAGCCCACCUUGAGGAAAUCUCAAGGCAAACGGACAGACUGGUUGCUUGGUGCUUUUGCGGAUAGUCUGUUGGCAGAUCGGCCCAUGUUCAGGCCAGUGGGCACUUGGAGGAACAGACACCUCGGACGCUGCUGAAGAACAUCCUACUAACUGCCCCGGAAUCUUCCAUCCUGAUGCCCGAGUCGGUAGUGAAGCCAGUGCCAGCACCGGAGGUGGUCCAACCCUCCAGACGAGAGAGCAGUUGUGGCAGCCUGGAGCUGCAACUUCCUGAGCUCGAGCCCCCCACAACCCUGGCUCCAGGUCUGCUGGCCCCUGGCAGGAGGAAACAGAGGCUGAGACUGUCGAUGUUUCAGCAGGGAGUGGACCAGGGGCUGUCUCUCUCCCAAGAGCCUCAAGGGAAUGCUGAUGCCUCUUCCCUCACCAGAUCCCUCAACCUGACCUUUGCCACACCUCUUCAGCCACAGUCAGUGCAGAGGCCUGGCUUGGCCCGCAGACCUCCUGCCCGCCGAGCUGUAGACGUGGGUGCCUUUUUGCGGGAUCUGCGAGAUACUUCCCUGGCUCCUCCAAGUAAGGUUGAGGUUUUCCCCUGCUGGCCUUUGGGGAAAGCUCUCCCCACUAUGACAGAUAGGAGGUGAUGCUGAGUCAGGGUUGCGCCCCUCUCGGUGGGGUCAAGGACAGCAAGCAACUCUGGUCAGUGGGUCUACAAGGAAUUUCUGCUUGCUUUCUACAGGGGGCCCCUUUCCUUCGUCCCUCGGUGUCUCCCAGGGCCCCAUAUCCUUAGACUAUAGGGCUGGAGGUUGGAAAGGGGUGUGGUGUGGUGGCCGAAACUUGUUGAAAGGGGCCAGGUUUCAGGAUCAGCUGGCCAAUUCAAACUGACCUGGGAGCCUGAUUGCAGAAAACAAGUUCACCAGAGUAAGAAGAGGGUUUGGGAAGAAGCUGCAGAACAAGCAGCGAAGAGGUAUUUUAAGUGGGCAGCUGGUGGGCAGGCAGCUGUGGGGGCCUGGGACUGCCGGGCAGAGGAACAGGAAGGUAAGCAAGGAGGGCUGUAGUCGAAAAGGCCUCGCGUGCUAGGUCGUCUUCUUUCUCUGAAGGCCACUCAGGGCGGACCCAUGCGGCCUACUGUCCAGGCCCUGGCAAUGCUGAGUAGCAGCCGGUGGGCCUGGAAUACGCUGAGAGCCAGCUGGCCCCUGAUCUCCAGGUGACAGCCUCAGAACCUGUUACUACUCUGCCCACAGACAUUGUGUUGGAGGACACCCAGCCAUUCUCUCAGCCCACGGUUGGCUCCCCUGAUGUGUAUCACUCCCUGCCCUGCAUGCCUCACACUGGGGCUGAAGACGCUGAGCAGGCUACUGGUCGCAAGACACAGAGCAGUGGGCCUGGGCUGCAGAACAAUAGUGAGUGUGUGGCACCGGUGGCCUGGAGCCAAACUUAGCUUGGGUGAGAGCUGACAAUGGUAGUUUUCCUUCUUCAAGCCCCUCUGUGCUCCUAGAGCACCCUGGCUGUGGCUGCCUCCUUCAUCCAAGAGCAGAGUCCAUGUUGGGCCAGGAGACUUCAGAUCCAUGUCCUGGUGCUGCCUCUGGCUUUGUCUUUCCUCAGUGAGCAGGGCUGGGUCUGCUAGUCCAUCUUUACCCUUCUCUGAGCUAUGCAGCCUUGGCCGGCUGCGUCUCCAGCCUGUAUUCUCUCCCCUUCACUCAGGCCCUGGGAAACCAGCCCAGUUUCUGGCAGGAGUGGCAGAGGAGGUCGAUGCCUUUGCUCUAAGCUUCCUGAGCACCAGCAGUGGUGUCUCUGGAGAAGAUGAAAUAGAGCCCUUACAUGAUGGAGUUGAAGAGGCAGAGAAAAAGAUGGAAAAAGAAGGUGUGAGUGUGAGUGAAAUGGAGGCAACAGGAGCACAAGGACCCAGCAGGGUAGAAGAGGCCAAGGGACACACAGACGUGACAGAAGCAGAGGGAUCCCAGGGGACUGCUGAGGCCGAGGGGCCAAGAGCAUCUUCAGGGGAUGAGGAUGCCUGUGGCAGGGAAGCAAGUCCAGAGUCGGCCUCCAGCACCCCUGAGUCUCUCCAGGCCAGGCGACAUCAUCAGUUUCUUGAGCCAGCCCCAAUGCCUGGUGCUGCAGUCUUAUCUUCAGAGCCUGCAGAGCCUCUGUUGGUCAGGCAUCCCCUUAGGCCCCGGACCACCGGCCCCAGGCCCCGGCAAGAUCCCCACAAGGCUGGACUGAGUCACUAUGUGAAACUCUUUAGCUUCUAUGCCAAGAUGCCCAUGGAGAGGAAGGCUCUUGAGAUGGUGGAGAAGUGCCUAGAUAAAUAUUUCCAGCAUCUUUGUGACGACCUGGAGGUAUUUGCUGCCCAUGCUGGCCGCAAGACUGUGAAGCCAGAGGACCUGGAGCUGCUGAUGCGGCGGCAGGGCCUGGUCACCGACCAAGUCUCACUGCAUGUGCUAGUGGAGCGGCACCUGCCACUGGAGUACCGGCAGCUGCUCAUCCCCUGUGCGUACGGUGGCAACUCUGUCUUCCCUGCCCAGUAGUGGCCAGGCUUCAACACUUUCCCUGUCCCCACCUGGGGCCUCUUGCCCCCACAUAUUUCUCCAGGUCUCCUCCCCACCCCCCCAGCAUCAAUAAAGUGUCAUAAACAGAA